RNAcentral lists this long non-coding RNA (456 nucleotides) under Mytilus galloprovincialis (Mediterranean mussel). The record is from RNAcentral. Lineage: Eukaryota; Metazoa; Mollusca; Bivalvia; Mytilida; Mytilidae.
GUCUCCUUAAAUUGUAUUCUGAACUUUAAAAACAUUAAAUCUAUUUUAGAAUGUUUUGCUAAAUGGUAACGCUACUGGAACACUUGGGAUGAUUCCCAUUUUCCUUUAUUAUUUACUAUGCCAAAUGUUCAGUUUCUUUUAACUUUCUCGCGAAAUGUGACAUUUUUUCUAGUUUCACGGUGUUGUUUAAUCUUCGAUUUGCGAAUUCAUUUUUACAUACACUAAAGGAGACACUUACGUGUUUAUCUAUUUUUGUCUCAUUAUUUGUUGUUUCAUUAGUCGAUGUUUUUUGUACUGUUGGUAGGUACAUACAAAUGUUCGACUUGAUGAUAUUUGAGGUAUAAACCAUGUUAACCGCAAUGUAAUAAAUAUUCUACAUAGAUAAUGUGUGACAUCGCCAGAAAAUUUAAAAUGUGUCAAGUCGGUUCUAUAACAAUACACUUCAGAAAAUAUGAA